UUGCAAAUAAAAUACACAAACAAAGAAAUUUGAUUGAUAGACAAAUCAAUGAUGAUUACAAAAGACUAAAACAAAUCAAAGACUACUACACAUUAAAAUUCUAAGAUAACUCUAUUGAGUCUUUAUUUAUAUAGAUUGUUCCAAACCAAUAGCUUAUAACUACAAUGCAACAACAAAAUACAAUAAACAUGACUACAUUCUUCCUAGUCCUUCCAUUAACCAUGUAACUUUUCUGUUUCUUAUCUCUAUGUUUCAUCUUCCCAAUCUCUACUUUCAACUUCUUGAAUUUCAUAUUUACACAAUCAUAAUCUUGUUUGGACAUUCUUGACUUGUCGACUUCUUCAGAAGUUUUUAUCUUCACAACUUCAUUGACUGAUGGUUGCAUGGUUUGAUGACAAGAUUCCACUAUAUUCUCAAAAUCACCUAAUUUUUCUAUUAUUUAGGAAUUACAAAUUUGAACCUCAGAUAAAUAUUUUCUUUGUUCCUCCAACACCAAAAGUCAUAAGAUUUUGGAUCUUUCAAUAGUUUAAAUUGAGAAUUAGUGUUCAAUCAAAUAUGUUGGAUUUAAAAAAGAAAAAAAUGAUAUUUACCUCAUAAUAAGGGCAUGCUCAAUAUCUUCUGGCAUGAUUAGUUAAAGUUCAAGAUAUCUUCAAUGAAUAACAAAAUCAUGAUUGCAACAAACUUCUUGGUUCAAAGCAAAAUUAUUCUCUUUUAUUCAAAGCUUAGACAAAUUAACUGAUCUCAUGGUGUGCCACAAAAUAAUUUAUUCCAACAAAUUUCAUAAAUUUCAAAAUGGACUGCUAAAAUAAAAAAAAUGACAAGAAAAUUUAAAUAUACAAUAGAUGAAGGAAUUUACCUUUUUCAUAGAAAUAAGAGAUGAAGGAGAAAUAAGAAAGGAAACAAUAGAUGAAUAGAAAAAGAGAAUAUUAACAAAAUAAUGAAAUAAAAAUUUUGAUUUUUUAAGCAAUUCCAAAUCAAAAUCAGAUUCUGGAUUGAUUGAAGAUGAAGAAGAAUAGAAGAAGUUAGGAUUUUUG
RNAcentral lists this long non-coding RNA (1034 nucleotides) under Capsicum annuum. Its description in RNAcentral is "long non-coding RNA (CANN_LNC020777)". Lineage: Eukaryota; Viridiplantae; Streptophyta; Magnoliopsida; Solanales; Solanaceae. The record is from RNAcentral.